AACUUUGUGCAGGUUUCGAGCACAUGCACAAUUUAGAUCCACCAUAUGCUCAUAAUGAUGUCAAGCCUGGUAAUGUCCUCAUAACUCAUGGGAAAGGACAACAACCACUAGCCAUAUUGAUGGAUUUUGGCAGUGCUCGGCCUGCAAGGAGGCAGAUUCAAUCUUGUUCUGAGGCACUACAAUUGAAUGGGCAUCUGAGCAUUGUUCAACACCUUUUCGAGCUCCUAAGUUGUGGGAUUGUCCAAGUAAUGCAGAUAUCGAUGAGAGAGUUGAUAUUUGGUCAUUAGGAUGCACUUUAUAUGCGAUAAUGUGAUAAUGUUUUUUACCAUGUGAUUUAAGAUUUAUUGGUUUAAGUUUUCGGGUCUUUGUCUCUUGAGAGCUAUAAUAUAAUUUGAUGACAAUGUUGAAUGUUUUAAAAUAAUUUGUGGAUUGUUAAUACAA
Humulus lupulus (European hop) is the source of this 441-nucleotide long non-coding RNA. RefSeq lists it as uncharacterized. The record is from RefSeq and is a predicted model, not a curated record. Lineage: Eukaryota; Viridiplantae; Streptophyta; Magnoliopsida; Rosales; Cannabaceae. The transcript is spliced from 2 exons.